AAAUAAUUUUGUAUUAACUUUAUAUAAAAUUUGUUAAAUAUAUUUAAAAAUACUCCAAGAAUGAAUUUUGUUGCAAUGCUGCAGAUGUGGUAUUAAUAGUGAAUGAUUAAAUGCAUGUAUUAACAAAAUAUCUGUAAGACAUUAUAUUGCAAAUAAAAAAAUCAGAAAUCCUUAAUGAUAAGCAUAGAACAGUAUAAUUUAUAGAAAAUACUUUUAAGAACCCACAUCUAACCCACAAAAACAAUGGACCUAGAAAUGCACAUUAUUGUCCAACUUUGAAUCACCAUCAUUUUGUAUUUCAUACCCUGAGUAGAUUUCAAAAUUAAAUAAAAGAUGACAUUACACAUUAAGUACUUUAGCUCUGGAUACCAUUAUGAAACUGCCUAAACAUAUAACCCAAAAACAAGAAUAGUUAUUACAGAUGUAAGUGAUCAUCACUUCUUUUUUUAAAUUGUACAGUGAAAUGUCCCGUAAGAAGCAGUAAAUCCUAAAUGUUGGACUGUUCUAGGUAAUUGGCAAAUAAUCAUGCCCUGGCAUUUUGCCAAAAUCACAAGUGUUCCAUUGCUAAUGUAUUUUAUAUAUUGAUGUACAGAUUAUUUAAAGGUACUCUUAUCCUUUCCUUUCAAACAGGCCUUGGGAUACUUGCUAUGACAACAAUACAUAUUUGGUAAAUGCAGGAUAAAAUCUUUUGAACAUCUAACUAGGUUAAAAAGCUCAGCCAAAAAAUUAGUACUAAACAGUAUUUGGGAAAUUGGGCUCCAAAAGAGAGACUGAAAAGAUCAAGUCAAACAAAUGGGAUCCAAAAGGCGAGUUAGGAUAGCAGAUACAGAGAAACAAUUUUUGGACCGUGAGCAGUUCAACACAGUUUAAUAUUUACAUAGGAUUCUAGAAAUUAAUUGGCUAACUAAAGCAUACUAGAGUUGGGGGUAGAAAUGACCAACUUAGUAACUUAAACACUGCUUUUUGGCAAGUGAAUAAAACUUUUUUGGUGACUUUUUUCAGGAGAAAAUUAAAAACAGAUUAUGGACUUGAAGCACAAAAGGUCUUUGAACCCUUGUGCAGCGUGGGAUGCAGCAUGCACCAGACAUAAGCAUACAGGAUUUCUGGGA
Molecule: long non-coding RNA, 1109 nt
Filed under: Callithrix jacchus (white-tufted-ear marmoset)
Lineage: Eukaryota; Metazoa; Chordata; Mammalia; Primates; Cebidae
Description: lncRNA (ENSCJAG00000082109.1)
Source: RNAcentral